GUGCCUGCUUUGGCAGCACACAUAUUAAAGUUGGAAUGAUAUAGACAAGAUCAGCAUGGCCCCUGUACUGGGAAGACACACAGAUUCAUGAAGUAAUCAAUAUGUUA
Small nuclear RNA from Monodelphis domestica (gray short-tailed opossum), 107 nucleotides. The record is from Ensembl. NCBI's taxonomy places the organism in Eukaryota, Metazoa, Chordata, Mammalia, Didelphimorphia, Didelphidae.